Molecule: long non-coding RNA, 328 nt
Organism: Schistocerca gregaria
Lineage: Eukaryota; Metazoa; Arthropoda; Insecta; Orthoptera; Acrididae
Exons: 3
Source: RefSeq, a predicted model, not a curated record
CAGAGUUGGACAGUCUUGGGGCUUCGUCACACUUUUUCGGCAGCUUUCAACGCCAGAGGUUGAAACAGAGUUGCUGCACAGCAGAAAUUGGCUCCUACAUCAUCAGAACGCUGCCUACCAACGACCUCCUACAUAUUUCAGGAUUGAUUGACAACGGAAACAGCGAAGAUUCUUGUGAUGAAGACAUUCCAGCGUCUCAAGGAAUUCCACAUGCUCGCCAAAAAGUGAAGGGUCUCAUAACCGAGAAUUCAGAUGGGAAAGAUACUGGCGUUCAUGGGUCGUCAGCAGACAACCCUGAUGAAGCAUCUCAAACAAUUGUAAAUAAAAU